AUUGAACGCUGGCGGCAGGCCUAACACAUGCAAGUCGAACGGUAACAGGAAGAAGCUUGCUUCUUUGCUGACGAGUGGCGGACGGGUGAGUAAUGUCUGGGAAACUGCCUGAUGGAGGGGGAUAACUACUGGAAACGGUAGCUAAUACCGCAUAACGUCGCAAGCCCAAAGAGGGGGACCUUCGGGCCUCUUGCCAUCGGGUGUGCCCAGAUGGGAUUAGCUAGUAGGUGGGGUAACGGCUCACCUAGGCGACGAUCCCUAGCUGGUCUGAGAGGAUGACCAGCCACACUGGAACUGAGACACGGUCCAGACUCCUACGGGAGGCAGCAGUGGGGAAUAUUGCACAAUGGGCGCAAGCCUGAUGCAGCCAUGCCGCGUGUAUGAAGAAGGCCUUCGGGUUGUAAAGUACUUUCAGCGGGGAGGAAGGGAGUAAAGUUAAUACCUUUGCUCAUUGACGGUACCCGCAGAAGAAGCACCGGCUAACUCCGUG
RNAcentral lists this ribosomal RNA (490 nucleotides) under uncultured bacterium. RNAcentral's name for it is "partial 16S ribosomal RNA". It matches the Rfam family "Bacterial small subunit ribosomal RNA", at positions 30 to 507 of the family's 1533-position model. The record is from RNAcentral.